UCCAGGUUAGGAGCAAAGGUCAGGCUGCGGUGUGAUGUUUACAACAGGGACAUUGGUGCAGGGCUGCUCUCCAGAGUACAGAACUCAGACACAAAUUGGGCCAGUGUGUGGAACACAACGGGCAGUGCAGAGAAGGAAAACCUGCAAAGCUAACGGGGCACCUGUAAGUAACAGGAAGAUGUGGAACUCAAGAUUCGUGCUCUUGUCAGAAUCACCGAACUGGAGGCACAUACUGCAACGAGCUACGCGGACAGAUUUGCAAGGCAUAUUGUUGGAUGAAAAAAGUAAGAAACAGGGGCUGGAGAGCACAACAAAACAUACUUACAGCGGAAGCCAUGCUUGCACACAAAACAAGAGCUCCGCCUGUUUCAACGCACAUCCAAGAGUGUAGAUGAAGUCCUCCAGUGAGUGCUUUGGGGGCACCGUGCUUUAGGUUCAACUUCCACGCCUUGUUAGGGGAUGGACUGUGUCCCGCCCACGAAUCCCCUGUUGAAGCUGUAAUACCCAGGACUGUGGCUGCCUGGAGAUGGGGUCUUUGGAGAGGUGAAGUCACUUUGGGUGGCCCUAAUUGGGUAUGGCUGGUGUCCUCCCAGCAGAGGAUGUUAGCACACAGGCACUGGCUGGGGCCACAAGCAGACACCAAGCAGGCAGCAGCUGCAGGCAAGAGAGAGGCCUUGAAAGAAGCCAACCCUGUGGACGCCUUGAGCUUGGACUUCCACCCUCUAGGACUGUGGAAAAUAACGUCCUCUUGUCUCGGCCUGGGUCUCAGGGCUUUGUUAUGGCAGGCAGCUGUGGUAGUUAGUGCAUCCUCCGGCAAUCUCACACUCCCUGGUCUACCCACGCUGGCCUUUUGGCGUGGCUGAAAUAUCUGUCCUUCCCCUGGGAACCUGCCUGUUUUCCAAUGGCAGGUCUCAACGUGGUGGCAGCCUCUUUCUGGAGCAGGUGUCCCGUCCUGUGGCACAUGUCGCUGACCAGUUGCUGCCCUGUGUCCCUGCUUGGGUCCUGCUGUCCCUGCUCUAUGCUGCUCUGUACUCCAGCAUGUCCCCCAGGAAGGCUGAGCAUGACAGGGACUUGCAAGGAUGGGAGUUCCCAAAACAAGAGCAAGAGGGAGGGGCACAAGGGGCCUCAGAGUGGCCUUGUGCCCACCAUCUUGGGAACCCAUGCCCUUCCGUUGGGGAGCCCGGGGUGGCGCAUGGUCCCUCACAGCCUCUGGGCAACUCUGGGUCCAGGUCUGGCUCGCACCCGGCCUCGGCGUCAUGGGGACGGAGGGACGCUGCAGAGCCAAGCCCAUAAAGCCAGCUGCCAGCCUGUUCAUGCUCCAUCACGAGGCCCAGACACUUGUGUGGGCAGGACCCCUGCGCUCGAGGAGGCUGGAUGUCCGUGGGAAGGUGAGUCAGGACCAAGCGUCCCCCUGGCAGGGAAUCAGAGCCAAGAUGGCAAGCGCCACAGGACAGUUGUUUACUGGCAGCAGACAGGAAUAGCUCAGCGAGCCAUUGCACAACAGCCAGGCCUGCCAGCAUGGCGGGAGGGAGGCGCCCGGACACGGGUCCCUGCUGCCCGAAAUCCCAGAAGCCCUUUGGCUCUGUCUCCCGCCGCCUGCUCCUCUCUGCCACCCCGGGACCUUCUCCAAUGACAGUGGGUCCGAAGGCCUGGCCGACUCUAAGCUGAGGGGCAGCCAGACCUCCUGGCCUCGUGGGCUGUGCAAGUGAUGGGAGUGGGGAGCCUGGGUCUGUGGUCAUCAGCCCCAGGGGUUGUGAGGCAGCAAGAGGCCCCGUCCUGCCUACUUCCAGGCUCCCCAGAUCCUGGCUGUUUCUUCAGAGUGACCCCUGGGAUCUCCACACCGCCUGAGGGGAGGCAGGAAAGGGCAGCCCUGGGGCUGAGGAAGGCGGGGCCAGGAGGACGGAUGGUCCCCACAGCGAGUCCACCGAAGAUGCUCAUUGGCAGGAGGAGGCUGUUCCCGAGGAAGACUGUUUGGGUGAUGUGUGAACUUACAUAACAGCAAGAGGAGGCCAUUUGUACACACCAAGCUGGCCCCUCCUUCCACCCGCACACCGGCCCUCUCCCCAGGGAAUGGACUUCUCCACCCUCGCCUCUCCGUUCUCACCGAAGCACCAGUAUUAGUGGAUGUGAAUGGCUUUCGCGCCGACGCAGCCCACCAGACAAGAUGGGCAGCAGGAGCACACCCCCCAUCACCCUUCUUCAAGACGCCCCAUAAAAUACCAGCUGCAAUCGGAGCACCUCUUUCUCUUGAGAGUCCACACGUAUUUCUUUGUUUACUUUAGAUUCUGCCUAAUAAAUCCCUUUAUGUCUCUUCCUGA
This 2318-nucleotide long non-coding RNA is filed under the name Heterocephalus glaber (naked mole-rat). Its description in RNAcentral is "lncRNA (ENSHGLG00000037245.1)". Lineage: Eukaryota; Metazoa; Chordata; Mammalia; Rodentia; Bathyergidae. The record is from RNAcentral.